GCUCGUGUGGUGUAGCUCGGCCCAUCAUGACGGACUCUCGAUCCGUCGACCCGGGUUCAAAUCCCGGCACGAGCA
RNAcentral lists this transfer RNA (75 nucleotides) under Candidatus Thalassarchaeaceae archaeon. Its description in RNAcentral is "tRNA-Glu". It matches the Rfam family "tRNA". Rfam says of the family: Transfer RNA (tRNA) molecules are approximately 80 nucleotides in length. Their secondary structure includes four short double-helical elements and three loops (D, anti-codon, and T loops). Lineage: Archaea; Methanobacteriati; Thermoplasmatota; Candidatus Poseidoniia; Candidatus Poseidoniales; Candidatus Thalassarchaeaceae. The record is from RNAcentral. RNAcentral also lists the same sequence under 1 other name.